UACGGGGGGGGCAAGCGUUGUUCGGAAUUACUGGGCGUAAAGGGUGCGUAGGCGGCUUUCUAAGUUGGAUGUGAAAACUCUGGGCUCAACCCAGAGCCUGCAUCCAAAACUGGAGAGCUAGGGUUCUGGAGGGGAAAGCGGAAUUCCUGGUGUAGCGGUGAAAUGCGUAGAUAUCAGGAGGAACACCGGUGGCGAAGGCGACUACCUGGCCCAUUCUUGACGCUGAGGCGCGAAAGCUAGGGGAGCGAACGGG
RNAcentral lists this ribosomal RNA (253 nucleotides) under uncultured bacterium. RNAcentral's name for it is "partial 16S ribosomal RNA". It matches the Rfam family "Bacterial small subunit ribosomal RNA", at positions 524 to 776 of the family's 1533-position model. The record is from RNAcentral.